UCGAAUGAGUGUCAAAAAACAAGGAGAAUUGGCGACUGAUCACAACCCCAAACUUAUCUCAUUGUUUGUCCUCUAGUGAUGCUCGAGACAUCAGAACGGUUGCCCCCAAAUGAGUGAAUCCGCAAUGCUACCGUGAUCUUUCGCGUUCUCCUGUUCAUUUUCAAUCAUAGUUUUACUCUUUCUCGAUUUCCGACUUUAGCCACACUUUAACUUUGACACAUCUUUUAGCCUGUAGCUUUUCACACUCUCACCAAAUCUCUCGGUGUCGAAGUGUUUACACUCAAGAAAACAGAGUAUGCAAAACCAGCUCUUAGGUUUGAAAUAUAGAUACCUUCAUAAUAAGCAACACACAACACACACUAUUUAAGGAUUUUUUUCAGUUGUAACGGGGUUGAGGUGUAAGAUGGGUAAUAGAAAC
Molecule: long non-coding RNA, 418 nt
Filed under: Lathyrus oleraceus (garden pea)
Lineage: Eukaryota; Viridiplantae; Streptophyta; Magnoliopsida; Fabales; Fabaceae
Description: Pisum sativum (pea) long non-coding RNA (PSAT_LNC024149)
Source: RNAcentral